GACGUAGGGCGCAAGCGUUGUCCGGAUUUAUUGGGCGUAAAGGGCGUGUAGGCGGUCGGCCAAGUCUGAUGUGAAAGCCCGAGGCUCAGCCUCGGAAGUGCGUCGGAAACUAGUCGGCUGGAGCGCGAUAGAGGAGGGUGGAAUUCCUGGUGUAGCGGUGAAAUGCGUAGAUAUCAGGAGGAACACCGGCGGCGAAGGCGGCCCUCUGGAUCGUUGCUGACGCUGAGACGCGAAAGCGUGGGGAGCAAACAGG
RNAcentral lists this ribosomal RNA (253 nucleotides) under uncultured bacterium. RNAcentral's name for it is "partial 16S ribosomal RNA". It matches the Rfam family "Bacterial small subunit ribosomal RNA", at positions 524 to 776 of the family's 1533-position model. The record is from RNAcentral.